AUUGAACGCUGGCGGCAUGCCUUACACAUGCAAGUCGAACGGUAACAGGUCUUCGGAUGCUGACGAGUGGCGAACGGGUGAGUAAUACAUCGGAACGUGCCCAGACGUGGGGGAUAACGCGGCGAAAGCUUUGCUAAUACUGCAUACGAUCUAAGGAUGAAAGCAGGGGACCGCAAGGCCUUGUGCGUUUGGAGCGGCCGGUGGCAGAUUAGGUAGUUGGUGGGAUAAAAGCUUACCAAGCCGACGAUCUGUAGCUGGUCUGAGAGGACGACCAGCCACACUGGGACUGAGACACGACCCAGACUCCUACGGGAGGCAGCAGUGGGGAAUUUUGGACAAUGGGCGAAAGCCUGAUCCAGCAAUGCCGCGUGCAGGAUGAAGGACUUCUGGUUGUAAACUGCUUUUGUCCGGAACGAAAAGGCUCUGGCUAAUACCUGGGGCACAUGACGGUACCGUAAGAAUAAGCACCGGCUAACUACGUG
This 482-nucleotide ribosomal RNA is filed under the name uncultured bacterium. Its description in RNAcentral is "partial 16S ribosomal RNA". It matches the Rfam family "Bacterial small subunit ribosomal RNA", at positions 30 to 507 of the family's 1533-position model. The record is from RNAcentral.